This 798-nucleotide ribosomal RNA is filed under the name Triticum aestivum (bread wheat). Its description in RNAcentral is "partial small subunit ribosomal RNA". Lineage: Eukaryota; Viridiplantae; Streptophyta; Magnoliopsida; Poales; Poaceae. The record is from RNAcentral.
AUGGAGGGCGGCAUGGACGCGAGCUUGGACUUCCUGGAGCUGGAGGCCCAUCUGGUGUUCGAUCUCGGCGACUGCUGCAGCUCGUACCUGCCGGCCGAGGACUCGCUCUCCGGCCUCGACUCCUCCUGCUACAACGACCCCACCAGCUCGCCGGACGGGGCCACCAGCUCGCGGUCCACGGCGUCGACCAGGGCGAGCAAGAACAUCGUCGAGGAGAGGGACCGGCGCAGGCGGCUCAACGAGAAGCUCUACGCCAUCCGCGGCGUCGUCCCAAACAUCACCAAGAUGGACAAGGCGUCCAUCAUCCAGGACGCCGUCGCAUACAUCGAGGAGCUGCAGGAGCAGGAGCGCCGGAUCCUCGCCGAGGUGUCCGACCUCGAGGCAGGCAGCUGCACCGCCGUGGUGGUCAAGUCGGAGGCCUCCACCGGGAGCGAGGGGGUGGAGGACGCCGGCGUUGGCUUCUCGACGCGGAAGAAGAUGAGGAGGACUGCUUCCUCCUCCAUCAACGACACCGUCACUUCCCCUGCCACGCAUCCGAUCCUCCUUGAGCUGGAGGUGAGGCCUAUAGCGGAGAAGCUGGCGGUGAUGAGCAUGAGGCACGACAAUGCGCAGAACGUCAUGGCGAAGAUGUACAAGGCACUCGAUUCACUCUGUCUCAAGGUCAUCACCUCAAGUGUGACCGUCGUGGACGGCCGCACAGUCCACACCAUGUUCAUCGAGACGGAAGAAAUGGAUAGUGUUGAGACGAUCAAGGAGAUGGUACAGGCUGCACUCAGCCAUCUCGAUUUCUCGAUGUGA